UCCAUCAAAAAUUAUUCAAAUGACUUGAAACAAGGCACCAAUAAUUUCUAGAGACAAAAAUAAUGGGGGUCCAUGUUUAAAAUAUUUUCAGAAUGAUAAAAUAAAUGAGGGUAAAAAAUAAAAUAAAGUUGAAAAUAAAUAAGGUGAAAAUAAACAAAAAAAAAGUGAAAUAAAAAUAAAAUAAGGGAAAUGCACACAUUAGGGUUUGAACCCCUGACCUUAAGGUCAUAGGGGGGAUCAACCCCCUCUCCCAUUGGGCCAAGCACUCUCUAGUGUUAGAAAAUGCACUAAACAUAAUAAAUAAAAUAAAAACAAAUGAAAAGUAAAGCGUGUGCUGGCCAACCAAUUAGGACACGACAACCAAAGUUUUUGAAUUCAAAAUUUGCAUGAAACAGUCGUCUUCAACCUUCGACCUC
RNAcentral lists this long non-coding RNA (416 nucleotides) under Lathyrus oleraceus (garden pea). Its description in RNAcentral is "Pisum sativum (pea) long non-coding RNA (PSAT_LNC019289)". Lineage: Eukaryota; Viridiplantae; Streptophyta; Magnoliopsida; Fabales; Fabaceae. The record is from RNAcentral.